AAAGACGUCCGCUCUAGGCCUUUGGAGACAUCGUGGGAACUCCUUCCGGUACUAUACAAACUGCUGACGUGGCCGUGGACAUGUACAUGGAGAGUCAUGGUGGGACUUCAUGUACAUGGAUACAUGGUGGGAAUUCCUUCCGGCACCCCCGUACCGCAAAGCCAACGGUGGGGAAGGAGAAGUGCAGACGUGCAGGAAGACGAACGAGGAGGAACCAGGACGAGCGAGCAAUGGCAGGACUAGCUGGACCGAGGGAAAAUAUUGCUGCGAAGACGUCUCCUCUAGACGACGGUAUAUCAUCCCGUGACGACCACAUUGAAGUCUGAAUUUGAAGUGUGAAGAUACUUCAGCAACCACAUCGUACUUUUCCAUUGCUUUCAUUGUGCUUCUACUGUGCAUGUGUGUAACUUGUGGGGUAAACAUGUGAUGACAUUGUAUGCUGGCGACACGGUCAGAUGUUCAUGCGUCUAACGUACACCUGCAUGUUAUGCAUUGAAAAGGGUUUGCCACUUGCGAUCCUGGGAGGAGUAUCAGGUCCGCUUUGUCCUGUGUGGGCUGUAUCAGAUUGCUGUUCACUUCUCUAUCUGUUGGAUAUGUGACUUUCUGCAAGUUUCUGGUGUAUGAUGGCAACGUCCUUGCUUGUCACUUUGUAUGAUAUUACAUUCUGUAUUCGCUGCUUCCAUGGCAUGGUCUGCAAACUGCAAUCCUUGGGCAAAUGUCAUGUUUGCUAUGUUGUGCUUUGGCCGUCAGCUUGUCU
Sycon ciliatum is the source of this 757-nucleotide long non-coding RNA. RefSeq lists it as uncharacterized. The transcript is spliced from 3 exons. The record is from RefSeq and is a predicted model, not a curated record. Lineage: Eukaryota; Metazoa; Porifera; Calcarea; Leucosolenida; Sycettidae.